AGCCUAAAAAAUUCCUCCCUGCUUACCUGGAACAAAGAUUUCCACCUCACCUCGGAGGAUAGUUGCAAGCCCUCGAACCAUUGAGCUGUCGAAGCCCAAACAACUCCACCCGAACUUCAUGCCAGCGCGGGAUCCCGAGUGGCCUGUCACAGAGGCUGCCAAGCGUGCAGUGCCUACUAAAAGAAUUCUGGGGCUGGCCCAGCCUUCCUCAAGGUAGGUACUGCUUCCCUGUCCCGGGGAAACGAUCAGCUGCCAGCCCAUUUUGUGUGG
This 270-nucleotide long non-coding RNA is filed under the name Zonotrichia albicollis (white-throated sparrow). RNAcentral's name for it is "lncRNA (ENSZALG00000004632.1)". Lineage: Eukaryota; Metazoa; Chordata; Aves; Passeriformes; Passerellidae. The record is from RNAcentral.